This 226-nucleotide ribosomal RNA is filed under the name uncultured Pseudomonadales bacterium. RNAcentral's name for it is "partial 16S ribosomal RNA". It matches the Rfam family "Bacterial small subunit ribosomal RNA", at positions 104 to 334 of the family's 1533-position model. Lineage: Bacteria; Pseudomonadati; Pseudomonadota; Gammaproteobacteria; Pseudomonadales. The record is from RNAcentral.
GGGUGAGUAAUGCCUAGGAAUCUGCCUGGUAGUGGGGGACAACGUUUCGAAAGGAACGCUAAUACCGCAUACGUCCUACGGGAGAAAGCAGGGACCUUCGGGCCUUGCGCUAUCAGAUGAGCCUAGGUCGGAUUAGCUAGUUGGUGAGGUAAUGGCUCACCAAGGCGACGAUCCGUAACUGGUCUGAGAGGAUGAUCAGUCACACUGGAACUGAGACACGGUCCAG